CCAAUAAAGGGAAAAGAAAGAAGAAAAAAAUCUUCUCGAUCGGUCUCGAAAAAUCGAUCUACUACUUCAACUUCAAUAUCUCUCCCUCACCAUGAGAUCCACAGGCGAGAUAACACAUGUUCUUCUGCACAUACCCGGAUCAACCGAGGCGUGGAGGAAAUUCGAAUUGGCUCGAUUUUCUACGUAAUGCGCGGCACUUUGCCGCGCGAUCGGUAAGCAGAGCGGUACGAGGAGGGAGUCGCGAUCGGCCAGAGUCCCUCGGGACUCCCGAAAGGGCCGAGAGAAUCGUCGUAGACGCGCCGCGGGUGAGGAGCGCACUGAGGAUCCGGGAGCACGGUGCCACUGCACGCGCAUGCGCCACAGAAAUUCGCACAUCCUCUCCCUCCCGCCACCGACACCGCCGCUCGUUCCAUCCUUCUUUUUCGUUCGCCGGAUUCAUCAUUUUUCGUCCCUUCCUUUUUCUUAGAGGGGAGGACUCCGUUUGAAUUUGUUUCGAUGCCUUGAAAUUUUUGGAAGAUUUUGGAGGAGGAUAUUGUUGAUAUUAUUGUAUAAUUAUGUAUUCGAAUUAAUUAUAUCAAUUUAUAUACAUUUAUCUUAGAUAUAAAACAUAGCAUUGAACAGAACUAUAUAGAUAUAUCGCAUAUUAUUUUUGAACCAUUGGACCUCGUAGUUUGAAAUUAAAUACUUAUUAAAAAUAGAUUUCAAUAUCUUAUGCGAAGAAUAUUUUAAUGCUACUUAUAUUGUAAUUAAUUAUAAAUUAUAAUUGAGGAUUUAAAAAAUUCUUUUGGUAAUAAAUUUCUUUGUUAAAAUUAUAAUGUUUAGUAAAAUAAAAUUUAUAUAUUCUUAUA
Molecule: long non-coding RNA, 848 nt
Organism: Apis cerana (Asiatic honeybee)
Lineage: Eukaryota; Metazoa; Arthropoda; Insecta; Hymenoptera; Apidae
Source: RefSeq, a predicted model, not a curated record